Molecule: long non-coding RNA, 696 nt
Organism: Mauremys mutica (yellowpond turtle)
Lineage: Eukaryota; Metazoa; Chordata; Testudines; Geoemydidae
Exons: 5
Source: RefSeq, a predicted model, not a curated record
GAAGCAUUAACCUUGACCUUGAUAAGAAGUUCUAAAGCAUGUAAAUGCCUGUUUUGAGAGUAUUUUCCAAGUUUUCCUAUUAGGAAAAUUUAUUUCAUAAUAUCUCUUCAAAGGUUGACUGUGUCCCUUUCAUCUUGGAUAAUUUGGGUUGCACUCUCUCAGUCAACUGUUGGCUUAGGAGGAGGUAUUUGUGCCUACACAGAGAUCAGGAAAAUCUGCCAUCGUUCAUAAGAAAUUGGAAGAUGUAGGUAGCAGAUUCCCAGCAUCAGGAGACUACUGCACGUUUGGAUUGUCCCAGCCAAAGCAAAAGAACUAUUGUAGGAGCUCAGCAUGCCCAAUAGUGGUGAUAUCACUGCCUUAAGAAAGACGCCGGUCCAAUAAUGAAAACCAGUUGAAAAGGGAAAGUGAGAGGUUUCUCUCAGCAUCAUUAAAAGUAGUGACAGCAGGAGGCCACAUGUGGAAGCACAAGACCCAACAGUAAUUUUCUUGGAGCUCAUCUACACUUACCGGAGGAUCGACACUGCGGCGAUCGUUGCAUUGGCGGUCGAUUUAGUGGGAGACCCACUGAUUGCUCUCCCGUCGACUCCUGUACACCACCUGAUCGAGAAGAGUAAGGGGAGUUGACAUUCCUGUCAAUGUCACAUAGUGUGGACCCUGCGGCUGUGAUCAAAUGGGGACAACAUUGCAUCUCAAAAG